Long non-coding RNA from Haemorhous mexicanus (house finch), 597 nucleotides. RefSeq lists it as uncharacterized. The record is from RefSeq and is a predicted model, not a curated record. The transcript has 3 exons. Lineage: Eukaryota; Metazoa; Chordata; Aves; Passeriformes; Fringillidae.
AUAUUGUCCUUCUGGAGAUCUUUCAGCUGUGCACAACACGUGAAUAGAAUCACUGCUCUGUCAUGGCUCUUGGUUAGGCUGCCCAGAAGACUGCAGGACAAACUGCCACCUUAAUUAUUGAUGAAAAUGAACAAAGAAAACAGCACAGUGACUUCCUGAAAGGAUGGUGAAUCAUUCCCUGCGUGUUUCCUUGGCCAAAGCUAAGAGUCACAGGGCAUCUGCUUCAAGAUUUUCAUCUGCACCUGACCAUGAAGUUCUGGUUUUGCUGUGGUACCUGGUUUUCCUGGGUGGCAGAUUGUUCACAUUUCCUCUUGUAAAAAUGCUUCAGAAGAGCAAUAGUCCUGAAAAUGGUACUGGGUAUUUCAAGCCUAAUUUUCCAUCUCAGGGGAGAUGAACAAAUCAUGAAAUGCUGUAUUGAUAGCAAGAUAUUAGCAUGAGGCCAAGGCUGGAGAAUAAUUUUCACCUUUAACUCUGUUGCAUCUCACAUGUAGACUUGUUAAUGCAUCUAAGAGCAUUUAAGUCAAUGUGGCUUGUGUAGGAAUCCCAGAUGAAAAGAAAUUUAAAGUCUUAAAUCCUUUUCAUACUCACUUUAUUCAC